Molecule: ribosomal RNA, 468 nt
Filed under: uncultured bacterium
Lineage: Bacteria
Description: partial 16S ribosomal RNA
Rfam family: Bacterial small subunit ribosomal RNA
Source: RNAcentral
GACGAACGCUGGCGGCGUGCUUAACACAUGCAAGUCGAACGGAAAGGCCCUGCUUUUGUGGGGUGCUCGAGUGGCGAACGGGUGAGUAACACGUGAGUAACCUGCCCUUGACUUUGGGAUAACUUCAGGAAACUGGGGCUAAUACCGGAUAGGAGCUCCUGCUGCAUGGUGGGGGUUGGAAAGUUUCGGCGGUUGGGGAUGGACUCGCGGCUUAUCAGCUUGUUGGUGGGGUAGUGGCUUACCAAGGCUUUGACGGGUAGCCGGCCUGAGAGGGUGACCGGCCACAUUGGGACUGAGAUACGGCCCAGACUCCUACGGGAGGCAGCAGUCGGGAAUAUUGCACAAUGGGCGGAAGCCUGAUGCAGCAACGCCGCGUUCGUGAUGACGGCCUUCGGGUUGUAAACCGCUUUCGCCUGUGACGAAGCGUGAGUGACGGUAAUGGGUAAAGAAGCACCGGCUAACUACGUG